UUUUUUUGAAUUUUGAAAUUUCCGUGAAAUAUAGGGAUCUGUAAACAAGUAUAAUUUCAUGUAGACGUUUAAAAAUGUGGUUAUCGCGAUGCAGCAUUUUGUUGUUGUUGAUUUCGAUAGUCAGUGUCCAACUAGUGUUAAAAUCCUGUGACUGCCCAACUUCGUAUUCAGCAAUGUCAGCAUACCAGAAAAGGUGAACUACCUACCUACAACCUCGACCUAGUGCCGGGUAGGUGAAACAUCUUUUCAACCUUGGCCUUGUCGACUUUACUCGUUUAAUACCUGUUGUGCGACCACGAAUUUUCGUUCGAAGAAUGUUCCAUUAAGAGUACCAAGACCAUAUAAUUGAGGUUUAUCACUUUGAAUUUAAAUUUUAAAUAAAGAUAUGUAAGGAGUUUUAUUCAAGAUGCUGAAACGGGUUUUUUGAAAUUUACGCUAAAAUGAUGAGAAUAGAAUGUAUUUGGAUUAUUUAUGUGGAAAAAAUACAAUUUUUAAAUGGCCCUUGUAACAGUA
Long non-coding RNA from Anthonomus grandis grandis, 513 nucleotides. RefSeq lists it as uncharacterized. The record is from RefSeq and is a predicted model, not a curated record. Lineage: Eukaryota; Metazoa; Arthropoda; Insecta; Coleoptera; Curculionidae. The transcript has 2 exons.